RNAcentral lists this long non-coding RNA (386 nucleotides) under Pan troglodytes (chimpanzee). RNAcentral's name for it is "long non-coding RNA NONPTRT011197". The record is from RNAcentral. Lineage: Eukaryota; Metazoa; Chordata; Mammalia; Primates; Hominidae.
CGGGUUCGUUCGCUUCGCGUUUUGGCCAGGGCGGGGGUCUGGGCUUUAGGCAGGUAGUAUUUAGUUUCACAAUGUUUGGGGACCUAUUUGAAGAGGAGUAUUCCACUGUGUCUAAUAAUCAGUAUGGAAAAGGGAAGAAAUUAAAGACUAAAGCUUUGGAGCCACCUGCUCCUAGAGAAUUCACCAAUUUAAGCGGAAUCAGAAAUCAGGGUGGAACCUGUUACCUCAAUUCCCUUCUUCAGACUCUUCAUUUCACACCUGAAUUCAGAGAGUAUAUCAGAAUUUCCCAGUAAGAGUUCCUACCUAGGCUCGGAUACAGACUUCUCAAAAGAUUCAGGUAUGUCCCAUUGGGUGGCACAUCACCUAGAUGUUGGGUGAUAAAGAAA